AUUCUGCCCAUGCGGGGAAGGAUGAGAAGCUUCGACCAAGGUUCGACUCGAGCGCCAGCGAGAGAGCGUUGCCGCAGGCA
Molecule: small RNA, 80 nt
Filed under: Escherichia coli
Lineage: Bacteria; Pseudomonadati; Pseudomonadota; Gammaproteobacteria; Enterobacterales; Enterobacteriaceae
Description: partial RtT sRNA
Rfam family: RtT RNA
About the family: This family represents a bacterial cis-regulatory element known as RtT RNA. The exact function of RtT is unknown although it is thought that it may be involved in changing the cellular response in relation to amino acid starvation.
Source: RNAcentral